GCAGGUAGGGAAAUCUUCCACAAUGGGCGAAAGCCUGAUGGAGCAACGCCGCGUGUGUGAUGAAGGGUUUCGGCUCGUAAAACACUGUUGUAAGAGAAGAAUGACAUUGAGAGUAACUGUUCAAUGUGUGACGGUAUCUUACCAGAAAGGAACGGCUAAAUACGUACCAG
RNAcentral lists this ribosomal RNA (170 nucleotides) under uncultured bacterium. RNAcentral's name for it is "partial 16S rRNA". It matches the Rfam family "Bacterial small subunit ribosomal RNA", at positions 348 to 511 of the family's 1533-position model. The record is from RNAcentral.